UUCUUACGGUUCAUGUGGACCCUAUGGCUAAAAUGGCCGUAUUUUCACCUCAAAAUUUACUCUGAGUACAGACAAACCUGCGCAUCUGUAAAAAAUUUCAGGCAUAGCAUGCCCUAGAUAAAUAAAUUUCAAAUAUGUUUUAUGUUUUAGAAAAAUAAAAACUUACCAGGAUUUUGCCGUACACUUUUUUUCAUUCCUCCAGAAGGUGCCAAAAUAAACUAAGUUGGGAAACAGGUUUGAGAACUUCCCCACAGGUAAUAAUUGAAGUGAGCUGUAUUGCUUGACAUGGACAAUAGAUACCCGACAAUAAUUGGUUAUUAAAACUGUGUACCUGAGUGGACCAUAUCAAGGUAAACUCAACUGUUUGUUAA
RNAcentral lists this long non-coding RNA (371 nucleotides) under Mytilus galloprovincialis (Mediterranean mussel). The record is from RNAcentral. Lineage: Eukaryota; Metazoa; Mollusca; Bivalvia; Mytilida; Mytilidae.